GCACCUGUCGUUCAAUUGGACAGGACCACAGCCUUCUAAGCUGUGUAUGCGGGUUCGAGUCCCGCCGGGUGUACCA
Molecule: transfer RNA, 76 nt
Filed under: Candidatus Cloacimonadota bacterium
Lineage: Bacteria; Pseudomonadati; Candidatus Cloacimonadota
Description: tRNA-Arg
Rfam family: tRNA
About the family: Transfer RNA (tRNA) molecules are approximately 80 nucleotides in length. Their secondary structure includes four short double-helical elements and three loops (D, anti-codon, and T loops).
Source: RNAcentral